Oryzias latipes (Japanese medaka) is the source of this 2283-nucleotide non-coding RNA. The record is from RefSeq and is a predicted model, not a curated record. NCBI's taxonomy places the organism in Eukaryota, Metazoa, Chordata, Actinopteri, Beloniformes, Adrianichthyidae.
CGCGAGUUUUCCUCAUAUCGUGCAGUCCUACUAAACAGCAUGCUACUUAAGUUACUUUCUUCUAACAAAUACAACAUUUAAACAGAAACAUAUAAGUAUAGCAGUCUAAGAUAAGUAAAUCAUAAAACAGAAAACAUUUUCAAUGUAUACCUUUCUGAAGUGGGAAUCGACAUGAUGCAUUUUUAGUGGAUUGGUCAGCUAAACCCAAACAAUGGAAUGGUAGUUUUUCAAACAUCCAAACGGCUGCAGAAGUUAGAAGCACAUUGGCUCCAUGUUUACUGAACAAUACUGCUGUCAUUAGAAGGAAAAAUACUUUCAAAAUGAGAGAAUAAAAAAUAGAAUUGGGAAAAUCUGAUCUAAUCUUUAUAACUAAAUGUAAUGAUUGCAUUUUAUAUUCUUGGACAAACAUGUCAUUGCUACAUAGUGUGAAGUCUAAAUGCUUCUUUCUUUUGCAAAAAAAAUAAAAAGUCUGCUUUCAUUGUGAGGAUUAGGUCAAAGACAAGUUGUUUCUAUGUGUGAAACUUUAAUAAGAUUAGAAACUCUUUUGAUCAUAAUCUUGAAGGAGAAGGAAAUGAGGAAAAGCUGAUCCAGUGUCCAUGGGUUUUGGGGGAACACUUUGAUGUUCAAAUGCGAUGGAAACACAAGCAGAAGGAGUGAGCUGAUGAGUAGAGCUAUUACUAGUUUCCAUGAUGUAAUUUUCUAUCGUACAGUACUUACUACAACAUGAAGCCUCUGUGCUAUUGCCCUCAGUGUGGUUUGAAAAAAACGGGUGUGCUAUGAUCACCCUUACACAUGGCAUUUAAAUAGUGAGAAAGUCUUGCUGUGUUAAGGUCAAGAAUUAGUGUCUGAAAAUGAAAUACAAGCCUAAAGGAGAGAAGAGAGGAAAUAGAACUGGCUGUACAGAGGGCUAAAAUAACAGUCUGACUACACAAUCUUACCUCCAUCUGCUUCUGAUUACUCACUAUCCUUCAGACAGAGGGGAGGUGGGGGGCAUGGAGCAAAAACUUGUGUCAGUGCAGGCUUUACAUGACUGACAGAGACUGGGAACAAACCCGCUUAAGCCUUGUUCCCUAAAGCUGGAAAAAUCAUUGGUCGCAACCUUCCAUCCAUCGAGACCAUCUACAGAGAACGCAGCAGGAGGAGAGCGGCGAAGAUCAUCAGGGACAGACACCACCCCGCCCACACACUGAUCCGUUGCGUGGACUCAGGCCACAACCUCGGACGCCGCAGGCCUGAAAGCCUCCAUGCACACACCACACGCUUCCACAACAGCUUCUUCCCAGUUGCAAUCAGAAUGUUAGCACAGGACAUUAGAGAGGGAAGACUGGACUGAACUGAACUGAACCACACAACAUGCUAACCAGCUGGGACGCUAAGUGCAAUGAACAAUUAACUACCACAAUAUGUCAAACACAUGACAGAAGUGCAAUAAUGAAAAGGUUGGGAUGCUGCAAUAUUUUAUAGUUUUGUAUUUUUACUUUACUCCUCUCUUUCUUAAAUUGUGUUCCAUAUCUUAUUUAUGAACCUUGUUAAUUUAGUUAUUUUGUUGUCUUUCUGUAAUCACCCUGACUUGUACAAAAGGCAACAAACCCUUUAAACCUUAAAUAAACUCAGUUUCAAGUAUUUACUGGAAUAUGUUUACAUAAUUUUUCUUUUCUUGAUAUAUAGUGUAAUUACAACUGACCGUGCCUUGAAAAAUGUAUGGUCAUUUAAAUGUAACUGCAUUAUCAGAGAAAUAAGACAAAACAAACACUAUUAAUAAGAGUAUUAGUCUUUUGACCUGUGACAAAGGUGAACAGAGCCAAACAACACCUUAAAAAUAAUUAACAAAAUAUAUGCAAAAAAUAUCUAAUAUAAAAGAUGAAAAGCUUUGUGUGUUUUUGAAUGUCAGACAGUUGAUUAGAUUUUUAAAUAAUUCGGUAUCUUUGAGUGUUUCCAAAUAUUAUUUUCCUCCAAACUCAACUUAAGACUUUUGAUGUUGAUGUUGUUUUAUAGUUCAAUAAAAGUAUAACAUUAAACUGUAAGUAAUUCUAUCCAACAUUUACCUUUUUUUAGCUUAUUUUUCCCUUUUUAAAUAUGUAUGUAGAAAUGUAUGUUAACAGAUUUUGAUAUCGUAUGAGAAAAUCGCUAGAAAGCAGUGAAAUCAUCUGUCCAUGUAUAUAAUUUGUCUUCAGAAUGGUGUUCUUUUCCUAAUGUUUAAGCUCUCUCUGUUUGCAGUAUAGUUUUUAAGUAUGCACGUAUGUACUGGUAAUUCAAAUAAAAACGUUGCACAUUCCAAAUACA